Molecule: transfer RNA, 67 nt
Filed under: Aphodius foetens
Lineage: Eukaryota; Metazoa; Arthropoda; Insecta; Coleoptera; Scarabaeidae
Description: tRNA-Leu
Source: RNAcentral
GUUAUUUUGGCAGAUUAGUGCAUUAAAUUUAGAAUUUAAAGAUGUAUAUAUUAUAUUACAAUUAACA